RNAcentral lists this ribosomal RNA (301 nucleotides) under uncultured bacterium. RNAcentral describes it as "partial 16S ribosomal RNA". It matches the Rfam family "Bacterial small subunit ribosomal RNA", at positions 509 to 807 of the family's 1533-position model. The record is from RNAcentral.
CAGUCGCCACGGUAAUACAGAGGGUGCGAGCGUUAAUCGGAUUUACUGGGCGUAAAGCGUGCGUAGGCGGCUAAUUGAGUCGGAUGUGAAAUCCCUGAGCUUAACUUAGGAAUUGCAUUCGAUACUGGGAAGCUAGAGUAUGGGAGAGGAUGGUAGAAUUCCAGGUGUAGCGGUGAAAUGCGUAGAGAUCUGGAGGAAUACCGAUGGCGAAGGCAGCCAUCUGGCCUAAUACUGACGCUGAGGUACGAAAGCAUGGGGAGCAAACAGGAUUAGAUACCCCGGUAGUCCCUGUCUCUUAUAC